RNAcentral lists this ribosomal RNA (198 nucleotides) under uncultured bacterium. RNAcentral describes it as "partial 16S ribosomal RNA". It matches the Rfam family "Bacterial small subunit ribosomal RNA", at positions 328 to 539 of the family's 1533-position model. The record is from RNAcentral.
ACGCUCGACACCUACUGGAGGCAGCAGUCGGGAAUAUUGCGCAAUGGAGGAAACUCUGACGCAGUGACGCCGCGUAUAGGAAGAAGGUUUUCGGAUUGUAAACUAUUGUCGUUAGGGAAGAAAAAGGACAGUACCUAAGGAGGAAGCUCCGGCUAACUACGUGCCGCAGCCGCGGUAAUCUGAGCGGGCUGGCAAGGC